UUUUCGGUGUAGGAUGAGGCUAUAUCGUAUCAGCUAGUUGGUGAGGUAAUGGCUCACCAAGGCUAUGACGCGUAACUGGUCUGAGAGGAUGAUCAGUCACACUGGAACUGAGACACGGUCCAGACUCCUACGGGAGGCAGCAGUAGGGAAUAUUGCUCAAUGGGGGAAACCCUGAAGCAGCAACGCCGCGUGGAGGAUGACACUUUUCGGAGCGUAAACUCCUUUUCUUGGGAAAGAAUUAUGACGGUACCCAAGGAAUAAGCACCGGCUAACUCCGUGCCAGCAGCCGCGGUAAUACGGAGGGUGCAAGCGUUACUCGGAAUCACUGGGCGUAAAGGACGCGUAGGCGGAUUAUCAAGUCUCUUGUGAAAUCUAACGGCUUAACCGUUAAACUGCUUGGGAAACUGAUAAUCUAGAGUAAGGGAGAGGCAGAUGGAAUUCUUGGUGUAGGGGUAAAAUCCGUAGAGAUCAAGAAGAAUACCCAUUGCGAAAGCGAUCUGCUGGAACUUAA
RNAcentral lists this ribosomal RNA (511 nucleotides) under Campylobacter rectus. Its description in RNAcentral is "bacterial SSU rRNA". It matches the Rfam family "Bacterial small subunit ribosomal RNA", at positions 212 to 739 of the family's 1533-position model. Lineage: Bacteria; Pseudomonadati; Campylobacterota; Epsilonproteobacteria; Campylobacterales; Campylobacteraceae. The record is from RNAcentral.